RNAcentral lists this long non-coding RNA (2663 nucleotides) under Mus musculus (house mouse). RNAcentral's name for it is "long non-coding RNA chr9:42726729-42729392". Lineage: Eukaryota; Metazoa; Chordata; Mammalia; Rodentia; Muridae. The record is from RNAcentral.
GUUUUUGUUUCUUAAGUAAAACUUCCCUAAUCUACUCCCUCUACCCCGCCCCCCAGCCUUCCUCCUCCUUCCUUCCCCCAGUGCCCAUGGUUCUCUGAUAACAGAACUGCAGCCCGGGGUUUGGUCUGCCUCUGCUCCCUAGCCUCAGCUAAGCCUCAUGGAUCUCCCAAAUCAAUAGACUCAUCUCAGAGGCUGAAUUCAGAACAGGCCUCAGACGGAGCCCUUAGGUUCUUUGGGAAAUCUGGGCAACAUUCCAUCACAUUCUCGUCCUCUCUAAACCUCUCCAUCUUGUGCAUAGCUGUCACCCAGCCAAAGACACAAUGGGACAAGCAGGUGCAGGCAGCCUCACUUGGGAGCCCCACCAAGCUGAGCCACUUCUCUGGGGGCUGCAAGAUGGGAAAAGUGCAGAGGAGGGGGCGGGUAAAACCUAGGGGAGUCACAGUUUCCUGCUUCCAGCCCUGGACUGGAAGGGACUGACCUCACUGUGGAGGAAAGUGAAGGGGACUCUGUCUGACCUCACUCUAGAUGGGGCUGGAGGGAUCACCCCUGACCUCAUCGAUGACGGUGUGAAGGGGACGUUCCAAGAUCUCUCUGAGGUGGCGGUAGAGAGGAACACCCCUGAUCAUGCUACAGAGCAGAGUGAGCAGGCUUAGAAGGCUGUGUGAGUCACUGAAUAGUCACCUGUUCUUUGCACUUUGUGCAACAGUGACAGCAAAGACCCAUAAAGAGGUCUCUAGACUUGGACCAGGAGACCUGGUUCUCUCCCUGGCCUCUCUGGACUAUGUACCUCCCCGCUGCUGACUGUUAGCAGAAGACAGGAGAUCAAACCAAUUACUGGGAGCAAGAGACCCUUAAGAGGAAGAAAAACCUUAAGCUGGGUGUCCUUUAAGGGUCACUGGGCCAACACUGUUAAGCCAUCUGUAAGUAUGAACCAACCUGCCUGGCUCAAGAAGGAUCUUCCUACUUCCCGUGAAAAUGCAGCGAGACUUUGCGUCUGAAGAACUAGAUUAUAAAUUCAUCUCUCCUACGUACUGGCUAAGUGACCUAGGGCAGAGCCUUGCUGACCCAUGAGUCCUCAAUGUUAACUUAGGCAAUCAGUUGACUCUUACUACAAACUGCAUGUGCAGUGGGGAGAGGAUAUGCUGUGACCUCAAGGCAAGGGUCAGAGCUCGGAGUGAAUAAGUAACCAUCAGCCUGCAGCAGACACUGGCAUCUUACUAGUUCUGGCUGCCCACAUCUGUGAGCAGGUUCCUCGGAGGGUGGGUCCCUUACACAUCCUAAUGCCAGGUAGAGAUGUGUGGGCUCCCCCACCCCUGACAUCCUACAGUAGUCUCACUAGAUGGACCCAAAAUCUCUUCCUGGGUAGGACACCCAGGAUUAGCACACUCAUUCAACAUUAAGAGGCACUUUUAGCACAUUGCUAGCUCUAGAGCCCAGCUGCACUGAGGAAGGAGAAAGCCCAUGGAGCUGAAAGGCUUCGCCAUUAUCAAUAUGGUGCCGAGGGGCUAAAGAAACUGCAUCCUAGCAGAAUCACGGGGUUUCCUAGGCUAUGUUCAGGACUCACCCUGACUGUGAACCUGACCUGUGUUUCCUCUGAACGCCACACUCUGAAGCCUGUCCUGCCUCCACCCUGCCCCACCUACCCAGAGCGUUGCAGUGAGAGGCUCUUGGGAAGUCUAAGGAAACUACCAGCAAAACAGUAACUUCUUAGGGUGCACAAGUUUCUGAAGAUCUGCUUAGCAACCCCACCAGCCCAUCCAUUUUAUUUUAUUUCCUAAAGCUACAGAUAGGACUUCCCAUGCAAAUGACUCCCAGAUGAGAUGCAAAUUGGAACUUGAAGCUGCCAAGAACCUAUGUGGCUUUUCUUCUCUGUGUCCUUUUAAGAACUGUAAGGGCACUGUGGCACCGUCUCCUGCCUCUCUGCCCUCUGUUCAGAAGAUUCUGCGCCGCUGCUGUGUGCUUCCUGCUGGCAGCCACAGGCAGGGCUCUGCUGGAUCCUACCAGGCAUGGGAUCUGAGCUCGCUGUGGAGAGAGGUUUAAUUGCACUGGCAGAAGCAGGCCCGGGUAGUCAAUGAGCCUGGGGGUGGGGAAAAGUUUCCUCUCAAUGGAGAUGUUCACGCUGGAGUCUUCUCACCCUGUGACCACUAUGCACAGACCAAGUUUGGUGUAGAGUUGCUGCAAGGUACUCUUCAAUGAACAGGCUUUAUUCAGGGGUACUCUUGGGGAGCCUACCGACCUGGGCUCAAAUCCUUCACAAUCACUGGGCAGCUGUGUCAUUUGAAGGAAUGACUGAAAUCUUCUAGGGCUUCCAUGAUAGUACAGUGAUGACAUCAUCCAUGACGAAGACAAUAAUGCCUACUUCCGGAUUCAGAAGAUGGCAAGAAAUCAUUUCUCUAAAGUACAGUGCCCUUUACAGAAGACCUAAUCCACAGGCUACUGCGAUCUUAGCAGAAUGAAACAGAGAGCACCCCACUUCAAGAACCAUGCAUUCUGCAUGUGGGGGUAUAAAGAAAAUGGGAAAACACCAUUCCACAAUCUGUUUGUCACCAGGGCUAGGGCAGGAUGUGCCAAGACCCUGUCUUAAUGAUUUUUUCUCAUUCCAGCUCAUGUUCUUUAGGAACACUAAAUAUAUGAUUCAUCGUGUGAAAACAGAUGCUUAAUGG